Molecule: ribosomal RNA, 1407 nt
Filed under: Staphylococcus saprophyticus
Lineage: Bacteria; Bacillati; Bacillota; Bacilli; Caryophanales; Staphylococcaceae
Description: bacterial SSU rRNA
Rfam family: Bacterial small subunit ribosomal RNA
Source: RNAcentral
GCUAUACAUGCAGUCGAGCGAACAGAUAAGGAGCUUGCUCCUUUGACGUUAGCGGCGGACGGGUGAGUAACACGUGGGUAACCUACCUAUAAGACUGGGAUAACUUCGGGAAACCGGAGCUAAUACCGGAUAACAUUUGGAACCGCAUGGUUCUAAAGUGAAAGAUGGUUUUGCUAUCACUUAUAGAUGGACCCGCGCCGUAUUAGCUAGUUGGUAAGGUAACGGCUUACCAAGGCAACGAUACGUAGCCGACCUGAGAGGGUGAUCGGCCACACUGGAACUGAGACACGGUCCAGACUCCUACGGGAGGCAGCAGUAGGGAAUCUUCCGCAAUGGGCGAAAGCCUGACGGAGCAACGCCGCGUGAGUGAUGAAGGGUUUCGGCUCGUAAAACUCUGUUAUUAGGGAAGAACAAAUGUGUAAGUAACUGUGCACAUCUUGACGGUACCUAAUCAGAAAGCCACGGCUAACUACGUGCCAGCAGCCGCGGUAAUACGUAGGUGGCAAGCGUUAUCCGGAAUUAUUGGGCGUAAAGCGCGCGUAGGCGGUUUCUUAAGUCUGAUGUGAAAGCCCACGGCUCAACCGUGGAGGGUCAUUGGAAACUGGGAAACUUGAGUGCAGAAGAGGAAAGUGGAAUUCCAUGUGUAGCGGUGAAAUGCGCAGAGAUAUGGAGGAACACCAGUGGCGAAGGCGACUUUCUGGUCUGUAACUGACGCUGAUGUGCGAAAGCGUGGGGAUCAAACAGGAUUAGAUACCCUGGUAGUCCACGCCGUAAACGAUGAGUGCUAAGUGUUAGGGGGUUUCCGCCCCUUAGUGCUGCAGCUAACGCAUUAAGCACUCCGCCUGGGGAGUACGACCGCAAGGUUGAAACUCAAAGGAAUUGACGGGGACCCGCACAAGCGGUGGAGCAUGUGGUUUAAUUCGAAGCAACGCGAAGAACCUUACCAAAUCUUGACAUCCUUUGAAAACUCUAGAGAUAGAGCCUUCCCCUUCGGGGGACAAAGUGACAGGUGGUGCAUGGUUGUCGUCAGCUCGUGUCGUGAGAUGUUGGGUUAAGUCCCGCAACGAGCGCAACCCUUAAGCUUAGUUGCCAUCAUUAAGUUGGGCACUCUAGGUUGACUGCCGGUGACAAACCGGAGGAAGGUGGGGAUGACGUCAAAUCAUCAUGCCCCUUAUGAUUUGGGCUACACACGUGCUACAAUGGACAAUACAAAGGGCAGCUAAACCGCGAGGUCAUGCAAAUCCCAUAAAGUUGUUCUCAGUUCGGAUUGUAGUCUGCAACUCGACUACAUGAAGCUGGAAUCGCUAGUAAUCGUAGAUCAGCAUGCUACGGUGAAUACGUUCCCGGGUCUUGUACACACCGCCCGUCACACCACGAGAGUUUGUAACACCCGAAGCCGGUGGAGUA